This is a long non-coding RNA of Eriocheir sinensis (Chinese mitten crab), 784 nucleotides long. RefSeq lists it as uncharacterized. The transcript is spliced from 3 exons. The record is from RefSeq and is a predicted model, not a curated record. NCBI's taxonomy places the organism in Eukaryota, Metazoa, Arthropoda, Malacostraca, Decapoda, Varunidae.
GCAGUCACCAGACACAUUCAUGACAGACAACUGCAGAGCAAUGAAGGGAGCCCUUACAGCAACUUGGCCUGCAGCUCGUCAGUUUUUAUGCAUCUUCCAUAUACUUCAACAAGUGUGGCGAUGGCUGCUUCAAUCCCAGCACCGCAUCAGGAAAGAGGAUCGCCAGGAGUUGAUGGCUGUCAUGAAGUCCCUCGUAUAUGCACCAUCGACGGACCAUUUCUUCAAACUUUAUCAAGACUUCAAAACUAAUCCUCUUUCACAGAGAUAUAAUAACUUCAGCAGCUACCUGGACACUCUAAUGGAAAGGAGAGAAGAAUGGGCUGUUACGUUCAGGGCAGGUGCGAUGCUACGGGGUCAUAACACCAACAAUUAUUGCGAGGCAACCAUGUGCAUCAUCAAGGAAGUUGUCCUGAAUAGGUGCAAGGCAUAUAACACCGUUCAGCUCAUGAUUUUCAUGGUUGAAAUUUUUGACUCUUAUAUGAAGAAGAGAUUAAUAGACGUUGCUGUAGGAAGGCGGAGGACAAAAAAUGUAAGUAUGGGGACACUGUCCCUUGACGCUGUCACUUCCCUAGGCAACGGAAGAUAUACUGUGAGGAGCCAGUCUGCUGCAUCCCUUGAGUAUGCUGUAGAUGUGAAGGCUGGCUUCUGUGAAUGUAACGUGGGACAAAAUGGUGCUCUCUGUAAACACCAAGUCGCCUGUGCAGAACACAGCAUGACAGCCCUCCCCCAAGUAUUCGCUGCAACAAGUGAAAACAGGCGGUGGCUGGCGUCAGUGGCAGUCGGA